This 475-nucleotide long non-coding RNA is filed under the name Coturnix japonica (Japanese quail). RNAcentral's name for it is "lncRNA (ENSCJPG00005007449.1)". The record is from RNAcentral. Lineage: Eukaryota; Metazoa; Chordata; Aves; Galliformes; Phasianidae.
GGAAAGGUGACACAGCCUCUUUGUCUGAUGCAAAGCCCUGAUGAGUGAUGAAGAUCUAGCAGCUUUGACAUAAAUCCUGCAGACAGAGUGUGCUGAAGGUCAAAGUACAUGGAGCAAAAUAGUGAAAUGUACACAUGUAUGUGUGUGUUUGUGUGUGUGUCCAGCUGCACGUAUGCCAGCAUGCCAAGCACUAGCAGCCCGUUCAUCAUUAGAGUACCAGGUGGAGAUAUGGAUUGCAGUUCUGCUUUCAAGAUUUGAUCUUCCAUCUGGGCUUCUUGGCAUCGCAGAGCCUCUUUCUUUGAAAAUCCUGACCCAGUGUCACGAGGAGAACAGACCUAAGUCUCUUAAUCUGAUGGCUGUUAGCGGGGGUGACUGCUUUAGCAAUGCUCUGUUGAAAAAUGAACUUUGCAAUAAAUGACCUUCAGAGAAGAAGACUAUUCAUGUUAAUUAGUAGCUCUUUUCAAGCAGGAUUCGU